RNA transcript from Cornus florida, 1119 nucleotides. It is a transcript of the gene named GCN5-related N-acetyltransferase 9, with no coding region annotated. Lineage: Eukaryota; Viridiplantae; Streptophyta; Magnoliopsida; Cornales; Cornaceae. The transcript has 7 exons. The record is from RefSeq and is a predicted model, not a curated record.
GGCGACGUGUUGAAUUGGUCGAUCUCAUAACUAACUCACUGAGUCGUCUCUUCUGCUAAAAAGGGUUAAUUCUGGAUGAUCAGUGUAAGCAGACUCGGAAAAUGGGGGUGAGUUUGGAGGGAGAGAAGGUGAUAUUGGUACCCUACAUGAAAGAACACGUCCCCAAGUAUCAUCAAUGGAUGCAAGAUCCAGCCCUCCUCCAAGCCACUGGGUCGGAGCCCCUAACCCUAGACGAGGAGUAUCAGAUGCAAGUCUCCUGGACCCAAGACCCCAACAAGCAGACUUUUAUAGUGUUGGAUAAGGAAUUCGUUGUCGGAGACUUCAUCCAUGGACAACCCCAUUUAGAAGUUAUGCCCUUUCCAGCCAUGGUCGGUGAUGUGAACAUCUACAUGAAUGACUUGGACGAUACCCAAAUGGCGGAGAUUGAAAUAAUGAUUGCUGAACCCAAAAGUCGUGGCAAAGGACUUGGAAAGGAAUCAGUUCUGAUGAUGAUAGCGUUUGCAGUUGAGAAGUUGGGCAUCCACAUCUUCCGUGCGAAAAUUGGAGACUCAAAUGAAGCUUCUCUUAAUAUGUUCCGAAAAUUGGGCUUUAAGGAUGCUUCUUAUAGUGAAAUCUUCCAGGAGGUUGUCCAUCGUGACGAUUUGACUUGAGGAACCUAUUAAACUUACAUGCUGGAGUGAUGAUGGAAGCACGGGACAAUAUAUAUAUAUAUAUAUAUAUAUAUAUAUAUAUAUAUACUAAUAUGCAAGUCAUACCAACGGGCCAGUGGCCUAGCGAUAUCAGGCCCUUACUUCCCAAAGGAAGGUGACAUUGGAGCUACUAAUAACAAAUCCAAUGUGUGAGGAGCUGCGGCAACUAAAACCUAAUAUGGUUUCACAUUAAUAGCCCCUCUAUUUUUGUAUGAUUGAAGCUGUAAUAUAUACUUCAAAAGUACUCUUUCUUGAGUUUUCCCUCAUUUGCAGUGUGAAGCUAUGAAUGAGGUUGUUUUUUUGAAGUUUGAACUGUGAGAAUGUUCACAUUUGGUCAUCUUAUUAGACAAUACUUCACCCAGGACUUGAAUCUAAAUUCUAAAGCUUAUAUAUUUGAAUCCCCUAUAUAAUAAAGGUCAUUUUUCUUUAA